AACACAGCACUUUGCCAACUCGUAAGAGGAAGUAUAAGGUGUGACGCCUGCCCGGUGCCGAAGGUUAAGAGGAUGCGUCAGUCGCAAGAUGAAGCGUUGAAUUGAAGCCCGAGUAAACGGCGGCCGUAACUAUAACGGUCCUAAGGUAGCGAAAUUCCUUGUCGGUUAAAUACCGACCUGCAUGAAUGGCGUAACGAGAUGGGAGCUGUCUCAACCAGAGAUUCAGUGAAAUUGUAGUGGAGGUGAAAAUUCCUCCUACCCGCGGCAAGACGGAAAGACCCCGUGGACCUUUACUACAACUUAGCACUGCUAAUGGGAAUAUCAUGCGCAGGAUAGGUGGGAGGCUUUGA
This 350-nucleotide ribosomal RNA is filed under the name Helicobacter pylori. RNAcentral describes it as "bacterial LSU rRNA". It matches the Rfam family "Bacterial large subunit ribosomal RNA", at positions 1812 to 2160 of the family's 2925-position model. The record is from RNAcentral. Lineage: Bacteria; Pseudomonadati; Campylobacterota; Epsilonproteobacteria; Campylobacterales; Helicobacteraceae.